UGAGAUUUAAAGAGCCGCAGUAUCCUGACUGUGCUAAGGUAGCAUAAUCAUUAGUCUUUUAAUUGGAGACUGGUAUGAAUGGUUAAACGAGAGAUCAACUUUUUUUGUUGUAAAGCUUGAAUUUAACUUUUUAGUGAAAAGGCUAAAAUUUUUCAAAAAGACGAGAAGACCCUAUAGAGUUUUAUAAUCAAGGGAAUAUUUCUUUCUUAGAUUUUUAUGAGAGGUAUUUACUGUAGUUAUUUUGUUGGGGCGACAUUUAGAUAUAAAAAACUCUUUAUUUUUAAAACUUUUAUGAAAGGUAAAUUGAUCCUUUAAAAAAAAGAUCAUAAGAAAAAAUUACCUUAGGGAUAACAGCGUAAUCUUUUUUGGGAGUUCUAAUCGACAAAAAGGUUUGCGACCUCGAUGUUGGACUAAAAUUAAGGCAGGGUGCAGCAGUUCUGCUAUAAGGUCUGUUCGACCUAUAAUUUUUUACACGAUCUGAGUUCAGACCGGCGUAAGCCAGGUUG
RNAcentral lists this ribosomal RNA (506 nucleotides) under Chelonibia patula. Its description in RNAcentral is "partial 16S ribosomal RNA". It matches the Rfam family "Bacterial large subunit ribosomal RNA", at positions 1913 to 2633 of the family's 2925-position model. The record is from RNAcentral. Lineage: Eukaryota; Metazoa; Arthropoda; Thecostraca; Balanomorpha; Chelonibiidae.